GGUCUGGGCUGGGGUCUGGGCUGGAGGCUGGGCUGGGGUCUGCGGGGCUUCUGUCUGUCACACCUGGUUUUCAGCCCCUCGUCUUUGCGCUGUGCUGCAGUGCUCUUGUAUCAGAAGCGCACGUUUUGCUAGCUAACCUUUAUAAGGAGGCAGCAGGGGGUCAUUUAUUUGAGGUGAAUAUGCUAAAUUCCCUCUCAGCUCCACAAGUUGGAGCACAGCGGCCCUGACUUGUCCAGACUAGUGAUGAUGCCUCGUUAAGAAGCUGAUCGACCCCCAGCAGCUGUUUAGUCAAUGCCGGUGAUGGAUGUAAACAUUUCACCUCCAUCCAGCGCGUGUGGGUGCGUUGCUGCAGCCUGCUUGUGUAGAUGGAGGAGGGAUGGAGAACAGUAUUGAUUUCAUCUUUUUGGAGCCGUGUGUGUUGAUGUGAGUGUGUGUGGAUGCCAGCAGCAGCCUGACACCCUGGUGCGAAUGGCAGCUGCUGUUGAUGGUGAAAACUGGCCAGAGACCAAACACACACUCACGAACACACACAGCAGUUACGGUCGUCAGAUGUCACUGUCAGGAAUGUGUGCUAGGCGAUCGGAUAGUCUUUCUGUGUGUCUGCGCUGGAAAAUGAUCCAUGUUUAGCAGUCAAAUCGAUCGUUUUAACUUGUUUGUCUUUGAUUUAAUGCACUGGAGCAGAGUAAAACAAUAGAUUAGAUAAGCAAAACUGACGGGGUAUUCAGACUAUCAGGGCGGCAGUUUAUUCAGAAAGACUAAUUUAUAGAGUUUAUUCACUACAUUGUAUUGUAAAAACAAAAAAGUAAGAGCUUUACAUGAAUCCUUUCAUUUUACUAAUAUUUGAUGUCCCAAUCAGAUUAAAUAUGCCUCGCGUAAAGACAUUAACACACAAUAAACCGGGCCAUUGGGAAGGAAAUUAAACUAAUACUAAAACGGGAUGGUUCGGUAUAAUCCUAUUACAAUCCAUUUGACAGAUGAUAAUUUGUCUCGUUCAUUACUUUUCAUUUGUUUUUGGGGAAUUCAUAGUCGUAGUUGGGCUGGUUGUUGUACGGCAAGGCAAACACAUUAACCACCCUUUCACUUCAAUUGUUUCUUCAUCCGUGGAGUCUCUUCCCGUGGGUGGUUUCCUCUGGGAAACCGUCUUUGGCUCAGUGAGGUUUCCAGGUGAUUGUGCAUCCAUCACAGUUUGGCUCUCACUAUAUUUCUGUAUAUCAUAACUGCAGGAGUGUUCUUUAGUUGGUACAGCGUUACACUCAUGGCUGAUUUAGUAAUCACAAAAAACUGAUGUACUGUAAGUGGUUGUGCAUUCCACAGUCACAUAUGCUGCUCAUUGUCUGAGUAGCAGGCUAUUAGCAUAGCACAAACACUGGACACAGACAUUAAGAUGUAUGGAAGUGUAGUUUUCAUAAGAUUUAAAAUGGACUUCAUAAAACAAGUAAGUACGUAAAAUGUGACAUAUUUGGAGUGGGAGCAAAGUGACAGGAAUCAAUGAAAGUCUAAAAAAUGACAAGCCGUUCUGGGAAGAAGAUUCUCCCGCGGGUCUAAAGUCAUUUCCAGUCACUGUAAAUGUAAAUGGCUUUAUUGGAUAGUUGGAUUAAAUUCAUUUGCAGAGAGGAUAUUUGGCUCACGUAACUGCAGCCGCUGUUUUCGACCCUCUCUCGUCACAUUUCUGCUUUUUAAUAUUUCAUGUGUCGUGCAUCUGUAGUGAAUUAAAUGUAGUUGUGUUUAACACUAACCACAUGGUGGAUGUGGGGAUACAAAUGAGAAUAGAUCUAGUGUUUUAUCCUAUUUUUAAUCCCACUAUGAGCGUGUUUUAGUAAUGGAAGAGUGCUGUGUUAUGAUAUGAAUCUCCCGUUGUGUUUCUCUGUCUCUUCUUUACUGUUGGACUUGUUAACACAACACAACCUGUGUUUUGACCUUUUUGGAUAAAACUAUGGCUGAUCUCAAUUCCUCCUUUUUGUGGAAUCAGCCAUGUGGAGGAAAUGUCAUUAGCUGGUCAACGGAGAUGGUGUGUAACAAGGUAGUUUACAUAGCUUUGAAGCGGCCUGUACCGAGAUGUGAAUUGCCAUAUGUGGGGAUAUGAAAGAGCUGAAGAAUUAUGCUGUCGGACAUCAAAGGCUGCGUGUGUGUUUCCGCAUUUGUGUUUGUGGGUUCGUUGCAGCGCGCGCCUCGUGUAACUUCUCUGCCAGACAUUUGUCACACUUUGUCUGUGAAUGUGUUCCCAGAAAACUGUCCCUCCUUUUAUCUAUUCUUAGCCAUCUGCCUGCAUGACAGCUCUUCCUCAUUCUGUACCGCAGUCAGUGUGUUGGUGUGUACAGAUCAUGACCACUGAGUGAGUCAGGGAGGUGUUUUCCAAUCACUUUCUGUCUGUGUCAGUCAGAUUGUUAGCGUUUCUAUCAUUUUCAUUUCUUGACUAUCCAGUUGUGAAGACAGUUGUAUACAGGACCAGAUACUGUAUAAAUAUUAUGAACCUCCUCAAUCCCUGAAAACAGAUCUUUACCGGAGCGUUUAUAGCAUCAUAACAGCACUUGUACUCUGACCUGAACUGCAGAAUCGACUCUCACCAAAGCCUCUCUCUGAAGUCCUAAUGUACCUAAAGCCUGAACUAGACGCCUACAAUAUUUGCAGCCUUACUGGAAACCCAUUUUAUUGAUUUACAGUUCCAAUCUAAGGUUGUGCUGAGGUAAACAUAUCAAAUAUUUACAAUAGCUGUACUCACUAAGGCUGUAACAUAGGGAUGUGCAAUGUGCAUUUACAGUCAGUCCAGCAAACCAAAUGGAUUUCCUGUCCAACAUUGACAAUCACAUGUUGUGUGCUACACGUGUGAAUGAGUAACCACCAGGAACGUCGUUCAUUCGACCCAGCUCAUGCCAAAGUCGGCACCCAGGACGCGUUCACAGCAGAAGUGAAAAAUGAUUGGAUUUGUUGUAGCAGUGCUCUCAUGUGACAGCAAUUGGCAGGAACAAAGAGGUGCUUUGGUGACUUUGGUCGUGUGUGUGUGCGUGUGUGUGUGUGUGUGUGUGUGUGUGCUAUGACGUCAUAAUUAAGUGAAUUAAAAUGUCUUAAUUAUUUGACCUUUUUGUAAGUGAUGGGAUCAGUUAAUGUUUGCUGAUAAAUAACCCAUUGAUUUGAUAUUUGAUCAGCUCAGUUACUUGUUUUCUAAUUUAAAAAAGCUAUAGUAUAUAGUCAACAACACCACCUGAAUCACUCAUAAUUUGCUAGACCUUAAUAUUUAGCUGAGAUCUCCAGUUGCUGAGCUAAAGCCUGUACCUGGCAAAUCACCGAGCUCACUCUGAUCUCCCACUCUGCCGGUAAAAAUGCCGACAUGACCCGUUUUCCCAAGAGGGAAAAUACAAUGAAACAAAUGCUUUGUUUCAACACCCAGCUCAGCUUAUCAUGUGGUGGGAUUUCACCACUGCCUCUGUGGGAAAUGGUGCAGAAACAAACGGCCACAGGACAGGAUGUCGUAACAUUAUCCUUCCACUAUUUACAGCCCACUUCACAAACGUCAGAUCACAAUAACUGCUUGUCAUAGCACAGCCUUCUGUACUUGUGGGUUUCGUGUCUUCUGAGCAGCGAUGACACAGCAGACGGUAAUGGUGUAGACGGACACGGGAGAAGGGGAAAGCAUGAGCAGAUAGAAGUGUGUCUCACGUUGCUACUGCUGUGUACUACCUGCAGGGAUAAACAGUGAUCAAAGACCUUUUAUCAUCUGACGCUGCCAGAAUAUAAAACUCUCUAUUCGCCUUUCAGUUAGGACAAAGGGAGCAGAGGGAGAACAGAGGCAGGGAUUAAAAAGAUGGAAACACAAAGAGAGACGGGCAGCGCUUUAAGUCGAAGGUGCGUCGCAGAGAAAUGAAUAAAAAGCGAGAGAAAAUGAUGACAGGGCAAUAGUUACAGAAUAUUACUGUUACUCAUAGCCAGACGUUUAUAUACUAGUAUGUUUAAAAAUAUCACAACCUUAUAUAAACAUAAAAAGGAGUGUUUGAGUUGAUUUGAUGUAUAGUGGAUAUAUUCACCUCCAGGCCCUUGGAGGCCUUUGUGAAUUUUUAACCUUUUAAUCAUAGCCCACAUUUGUUUCCUAUAAACAGCGUACACUGGUCGACAUGCGAGCGGAAGAUAUUUCACAUGGAAACCUCUAUUAUGUUGAGCUGCUUACAGUAAUUGCGUAACCGAGCGAUACAUCACAGUUCAGUACAAUAGUGUUGCUUUCCCCGAGGAAAUUAUAUUUGGAAGGCCAAAACAAAAUAAAUACUGGUUAUACACAACAUUUGGGGCAUUCACUAGGGCCAGCAGUCAUCACAGAGAGAGCACGAAGCUAUUAGUGUUUCAUAUAAUUCAUGAUUUAGAGAAUGGAAAAAAAUUGCACACAGGAUCGAGAGCGAUCUUUACAUUUUUGCACGUUAGCAUGAAAGAAAGUGCUGCAAAUAUUGGUGAACUCCUUGAGCACGCAGCCGCUUCCUGCGCACGAACACCCAGACAGCCAGGAGUCGAACUAGCAACCAGAUAACUGCCUUGCCGAAGUCCGGUGAGGCUGGGACUGUGCCGCGUUGGGCGGCGUCAUGCUGGAGGAGUUACUGAGGGGGCGGCGAGCAGGCAGCACGCUUACAGUCUCUCCUGGAACAUCCUGGAGGUGUUGUACUUAGUUGUGCCAGUUUUACAAUGAAUGAAAACUUAAUUAAAAACCUCAGAGGCGACGUUGGACUCUACUUGUUCUGUUGUUUCUCACCUCUUCGCAGCGAACUAAACCACUAUUACUAAAUUACUACGAAAGCUGUUGAUAUUUUCAUUGUGAAUUCUGAUGCUGCUGCUGCUGUUUGUCAGUUUCUUUGAACCUGAAACUAUAAAUACACGCUGCCUUUGUUAGUUAUUUUAUAUGACCUUUAUUCAGUUCCCAUUAGUGACUGAAGCAUUCACAUUUGCCUUAUUAUCUGUUUAUUGUAGUUCUCUGUCUUCAUUCCCCUCAUUGCUAAAGUAGAUAAAGUAGAUCAGUAUAUCAGCUUCUGGCUACAUGCACCUGCACAAUAGGAAUAUCUGCUCCUUUAUGUUUUAUCCAAACAGACUGUGUUAAAUGCGGUGCAGCGUUCGGCUCAGCCGGCCAGUUCCAAGACACUUAUGAAUUUUCAAGCAGACGAUCAGAGCACCGGUUGUUGAUGAAAAACAAGGGUCACUGACACAGUUUCCCUCUCUCCACUCAUCCUCAGAGUGGAUGAACAGGUAGCCAUGCAUAUUCAUGGCACUUUGUGUGUUGAUGUAUAAAGCUGUAAUUUGCUUUUUAUCCACAGUCCUGGUGCAAAUUUCUACUUCUGGAGAGUUUUAGCGCCACUGGCUGCAAAUCCUCAUUAUUCAACUGCCAAAGCUGUCAAAGAGCUUUCCAGCAAACCUUUUAGUAAACAUGUCAGUUUAAUCUAACCACUGUGUUUAUUGUGAAUGAAACUAGCAGCUUCUUUGAUGAAUGAAUGACUUACCGUAUUUGCUCCAUGAAAAGUCAGUAAAUAAUAUAAUAGCGAUAUUAAUAAAAACAGCUCCCGUGCUGUAAGUUGUACUGAAAAUGCAUGAUCGUGAUGAAGAUUACAAAUAUUGUGACAUGAAUGUAAGCGUAUGAUGCGUUUCUUGUCCAGUAUUCCAUCCCUGAGACACCAACUUCUUCACCUUGGCCAAGAGUUACAGAAAAUCUUUGAGGUGGAGGCUCAGGAUAUUCAAUUUGCACCUACAAAAACAUGAUUGUGAAGCACGGAGCACUAACAGUGACUGUGGGAAGUAAUAGAUAUGAUAAUUGACUUAUCCCAUUAAUUUCUCUCCAAUUCAUAAGGCUGUUUAUGACACCUUAGUGUGUAAUUUGGUCUGCUAUGCAGGUCAGAAUGUUAAUGCGGUACAUUAAUAUGACUUUUUUUUAGCUAAAUACAGAAUUUAUGACUUAAUGAAUUGUUUAAUUGCUUGUUUUACGCCUUUUAUUAUAGACUUAUGGAUUAUGGACACAGUCUUUGGACGCUUGGGGUUAAAAUGAGGUCAACUUGCUGUUGUAAUGAUGAAGGGAGUCUGUGCCUUCCACUCAAACGCGCUGACUAAUGUGUGAGUGCGAGUGUGAGGGUAAGUGUGGGUUAAUCAUGGUGAUAUGGUUUGACUCACUGAUGCACGCUCUCUCUCUCUUCUUUCUGUAUCCAUACAUAUUAAAUGCAGGCGGACGUGUUAGCACAUCCCCCCGUACCUCGUCUGAGUAACGUUGUUCCAGUUGGCUGCUGGUGUGUUUGUGUAUGCGUAUGCAUAUCAGUCAUUUGUGCUAAGAAGUAAGGAGGUUUUGUUGAUCAUGUCUCUUUUUGGAGCAGAGGGAUUUCAGACUGGUCUCUCUCUCCGUUCCUAGCCUUUUCAGGAGUGUUUAAGAGCAUGAGCGAGUGUGUGCGCCGGGGUUUAUUUUGCCCAUAAUGCAGUGUGCUGAGGCAUUAAGGGGGAUUGGCUGACAGGAGCCGCUCCUUAUUAGUCGUCUGGCUGGCUGUAAGAGGCUUUUCCUGCUUGGAAAUGGGCGCUGAAAAAAAGAGGCCAAAAGGCGAAAAACAGAAGAAAAACUGAAAUAAAAAUGUAUCAUUCUGCUGUAAUAGACACGAAGAGAAACCUUGACGCAUCCAACAUUAGUCAAUGACUUUCUUCUUCAUCAGACACUCGUUGUGAAAGGAGGCCUCUUUAACAAAUGAAGGAUUUUUUUUAACAGAUGACCCCCAGUCUCAGUCAUAAGAGGAGAGUUGCUUAUUUAAUGUGACACAUUUCUUUUCACCCAUCUAAACUCACAGGGUCACUGCAGAAGAACUAUAUGCGCCAAGCAUACGGCUGGAAAAGGCAGCCGUAGUAAAUAGAUCAACAAUGCGCCCUCCUGUGCUGUCGCUGUCUGUUUACAUUCCUUACAUGUGCAGGAAAGAGGCACAGGCCUGGAAGAAGCUGUAAAUUUUGUCAAGAUAAACACAAUUCACACUUGUUUCCAUCUGCUGGGUAAUGUAAAUAAAAUAUACUGACCACACACUCGUAUUAAUCAGUUCGCUGUUCUGUUGAAGACAAGAAGGAAGGUGCUGUAUUUCACUAACCGAUUCAUUCUUUGCUAAACUGAUUAAUGGAACCUAAGUAGAAUUAAAUGAAUUAAUAGCACAACUGAUUUUGUGAUGAAAACAUUUAAGAGUCCCCGGCAGCACAGCGGCGCUCCACCCGCUGGGUCCUGUGUCGACCAUGACUUUGAUGGACUCGCUACUGUAUAAAACAUGGCUGUCGGCACCGCCGCCCGUCAACUUGUUUUGAUUUUCAGAUCAGUUAUAGCAGUUUCUACAGCUCAGCAGCACAGGUACAGUACAGUAGGUGUAAAGUCAGGCCCUUAGCCUUUUGACGCCUCGUUAGGUGGCUCUACUGCAAUUUAAUCGUUCUAUUUAACAUGUUCAGUCUCCAGGAGUCCUCCUGUUUCUGUUACUGGCAGAAUACCAGAUUUGUGCCCAUAACAAAAAACUAUUUACAUGUUGUAAAUGUGCAAGAUUAACAAGACCCACGUGCAGCAUCGCUGUAAUUUGCUUUUCAAAUGUGCAUUAAACCUUCUGCUGCAUUUGUUUGCAUAUGUACAGUCUUUACAGAAGCUCAGAUAGUGAUAAAGCAGAGAAUCAACUAAACCCAUCGCAGGAAGAUAACACAAAGCCCGUAGCAUUGGACCUCUAAACCACGGCGCUGCACUAAGAUCAGCAGUCACACCCUCUUGCAUUUGUUGUCUUAAGCAGCGCCUUCUCUUGGCCUUCCAGCGGGCCCAUCUGUCUUGUCCGAGUCGAUAAUGAACCUGUGGAGUCGACCGCUGAGGUGACACUGACUCCAUCACUGUAACUCCAGCUCUCACUCCUAUUAUCUCUUGCUCCUGCAUCAGUUGCAGCUAAAGCAGUGAGAUGCACAUGCAUCUAUAUAACCAAACCUUAAAGCAUGUUAUGGUUGAAAGUGACAAGCUACUACUUCUACAAAAUGAGAUAUUAUAUAAACCAUAUCCCUAUAGAAGACUUAAAAAAGACUUAACUUUGCAGCAGCAGAUUUCUUUGAUUAUUCAGUUAUAGUCAAAUAUUAAUCAGCCACUCUCAGCUCACUUUUUCAGACCUUACUUCUGAUGCCCCAAAUAGUUUUUACUUUUAAUUUUGUGAUUCUCUGCCAGGUGUACUCCUCUGCUAAGAAACUGACGAAGUGGAUGUUCGAUUCAUGCUCAUUGUUUUAUUGUCUGGUGUAAUCACCUUUUUCAUUUCAGAGGUUUUGAUGGAUGAGAAAGAUUCUGUGGCUCUGAUGCCAAAUGCUUGUGUUGACUAAUUUGGUGAAGCGCUGAGCUGCAGCUGCUCCGUCCGCUUCACAUCCAGACGGAGGAAGGAUUCAUUGUGUUGGUCUCCUUCUCUGUUGCGCGGAUGAAGGUAGGAUUACCCAGCACUGAUCAUCUCCCAGCACUUGAGUCCCCACAUCAAAGCACUCUCACACAUACAGUACAUACAUGUCUGGGUAUAAUGUGACUUUAAACCUUCAAACGACUUCCUCUGUUCGUCUCUGUUCGUUCUCAGUAAAACGUUUCAGUUGCUCUCUCCAUUUUGUGUUUCGUCCAUGACUCAAACAGAUGCACUCACGACUCAGCAGACCUCAGCUGCAGAGACACACUAUAAUUAGUGAGACAGCAUCUUUAUCUCACUCUGCUCUGUGUGUGUGUGUGUGUGUGUGUGUGUGUGUGUGUGUGUGUGUGUGUGUCUGUUCUGGCCUAAUUGCCCAGGUUAGAUGAGCAUCGUUAGUAAAUGAUUAAUUUCAUUAGGCAGCUGUAGCCUGUGGUUACAGAGACAGAACACUUACCUUCUUUGUCAAUUUCUCUCGUUAUACUAUAAAGAUUUUAGAUUCUAUCUACAAUUAUUACUAAUUAUUCCCUUUCCCUUUAUCUAUCUUCCAGUACACAUGUUUGGCCUGUGUGCAGUGUGAACAUGGUGCCAGGGCCUCUUUAUCAUGAUGACCAAUGAUUUUUCAGUGUGAGCUUAUGAGGAUUAUGUUGAUGAAAUGGUUGGCUAGUAAAACUUAAGAUCUUUGGUUUGGUACAUCAUAAAACUGGAGGCAGAUCCUCACAAAGGGGCUGUAAAAUGUUAGGAGUAAUCAAUUUUUAGUGUGGGCUGGCCAGCGACUCCGUCCCCAGUUCACUUUGCUGCUCUCUGUGUAUUUUCAUCUUUUAACUAAACCUUUUACUUUCUCUCUCCCUUUCUGUAUCCACGAUUGCUCCCAUUCUGUCUCUGUCGUCUUUCAUCUUCACAUCUUUAUCUACUUUCUCAUUUUCUCUGCUGUCUUCUCUCUGUGUGAGUCUAUUCUAAGAAGUAAAGGUCAGAUACAGAUGCACAGCAUGAAUUUGAUUCCUCCCCCACAUUACAUGCGCCCUCUAACACGCACACACUGACAGACUGUGUAAUUAUGUAGGUGUUGGAGGAAGAUUUGAGGGAGAAGGAGGGAGAGUAUGGGUGAGAAGAGGCCAGCAUCCUUCCUAUGAUCUUGCUCGGGUUCAUGACAUGUAUUAACUGAUUGUAGAGUCACAUAUACACAUUAUUAUCAUUUCCGUGACAUGCUGUUCUUUGAAUCAGUAUGUGCAAAGGUUGUGUUCAAAUCCAAACUUACUUUUCUGAAACAAAUGAAACAAAUUUGACUUGCUUGUUAUGUUUGCUGGCUUGACUGUUUGUGAUUUGGGUGUUACAGCCAAAUAGACCAAGUUAAGACAAGUCUCCUGUUUCCUGUCAGCUGCUUUGAUUAAUAGACUCCAGCUUGUUUUCCCUCAUCACAUUUUAUGUUUUCAUUUCAUCUGAUAGCAAACAAAUAAUCUGCAACAAAUUACAUCAUUCUGCUAGUUAUUGUUUUCUUUUUUAAAUUUGAUUUGAUACUUUGAUUCAUAUGUGAUAUAUCAGUAAUUGCUGAUUGUGUGACAGCUGGCAGCCUCUCCUUUCUUCUAACGCUUUUUGAUGCAGUCCCCCUGCGACAGUCUUUGGUUCAAUUUGCUUUGUCUAUGAGAGCACCCAUUUGCAUGUGUCUAGUGCCUUUGCAUGACUUUAUGCAUAUAUGCUGAGGUUUGCAUCCUAUUUAGGCUCAGCACACCUCUGGAAUGCAUUCAUGCGUUUUAAGGCUCACCCAAAGUCUCAGCGAGCGAGCGGCUUCCCCUGCCCAGACAUGCAGCUCAGAGGAAGACUUUCCAUAAUCCCAGCUUCAGAAAUACUUGGCAUAAAUACGUAAAAUCACUGACGAGCGAGAGCGUCAGCGUUCACUCAGGGUGUUUUGACAGGUGUGAGCACAGAAUGAUGUACAUGAGCUAAAACAGUUUUUGUUUUUAAAUCACAUUUUUUACCUUGCUCCUCGCGAGCAUCAGUAAGUGAUAUCACCCGCAGCGUGCGUGUGUUUGUGUGUGUGUGUGUGUGUGUGUGUGUGUGUGUGUGUGUGUGUGUGUGUGUGUGUGUGUGUGUGUGUGUGUGUGUGUAUUGUUACUGGCAGCUGAUUAAGAGACUGCAGUGUGUUUUCUUUUACAGACUCUGAUCUCCUGUUGUGUUAGCAUUUACAAACACGCCACAGCAACAUUAUCUGGCAAUUAUACUGGUCUUGUUGACAGUUUAUGUGAUGUAUAUACUUACAGCACUGGGCUCCAUAUUUAACACUGGUGAUAGAUCAAUUCAUCCUUUAGCAUUAAAAUGAACCCAAAGCCCUCUUUGCUUUAUCAACUAUGGGCCUGGGCAUCGCUCUGCAGGUUCCUGUCUUAGACGUUUUGCACUUUAACCGAUUGCACAACUGCAGGUUCUUGUUGUAAUUUCUCCUUUCUGUACUUCUGAGGUUUCAUCAUACUUAUUGUGUUUAGACAUUUAUUUUGUUGAGUAUUUAAUGAUAAGAUGGUUUUCUUUUUGCUUAGAUGCAAACAGUGUAUGGCAACGGUUUCAUAGUGUAUCAUCAGAUUCAUUACCAUAAAUACAUUCUAAUCAGU
Long non-coding RNA from Betta splendens (Siamese fighting fish), 10975 nucleotides. RefSeq lists it as uncharacterized. The transcript has 2 exons. NCBI's taxonomy places the organism in Eukaryota, Metazoa, Chordata, Actinopteri, Anabantiformes, Osphronemidae. The record is from RefSeq and is a predicted model, not a curated record.